GACGAACGCUGGCGGCGUGCUUAACACAUGCAAGUCGAACGCUGAAGCUCAGCUUUUGUUGGGUGGAUGAGUGGCGAACGGGUGAGUAACACGUGAGUAACCUGCCCCCUUCUUUGGGAUAACGCCCGGAAACGGGUGCUAAUACUGGAUAUUCACUGGUCUUCGCAUGGGGGUUGGUGGAAAGGGUUUUUCUGGUGGGGGAUGGGCUCGCGGCCUAUCAGCUUGUUGGUGGGGUGAUGGCCUACCAAGGCUUUGACGGGUAGCCGGCCUGAGAGGGUGACCGGUCACAUUGGGACUGAGAUAAGGCCGAGACUCAUACGGGAGGCAGCAGUGGGGAAUAUUGCACAAUGGGCGCAAGCCUGAUGCAGCGACGCCGCGUGAGGGAUGGAGGCCUUCGGGUUGUGAACCUCUUUCGCUAAUGGUCAAGCCGCAACAAUGGUUGUGGUGAGGGUAGUGGGUAAAGAAGCGCCGGCUAACUACGUG
This 483-nucleotide ribosomal RNA is filed under the name uncultured bacterium. Its description in RNAcentral is "partial 16S ribosomal RNA". It matches the Rfam family "Bacterial small subunit ribosomal RNA", at positions 28 to 507 of the family's 1533-position model. The record is from RNAcentral.